RNAcentral lists this transfer-messenger RNA (356 nucleotides) under Rhodospirillaceae bacterium. It matches the Rfam family "Alphaproteobacteria transfer-messenger RNA". From Rfam's summary of the family: Bacterial tmRNA, also known as 10Sa RNA or SsrA, is named for its dual tRNA and mRNA-like properties. Lineage: Bacteria; Pseudomonadati; Pseudomonadota; Alphaproteobacteria; Rhodospirillales; Rhodospirillaceae. The record is from RNAcentral.
CGGGUAGCAAUUUUAACCCAAACACCUUAUAUUGUUGACGCCGCGCAAGCGGCUAUGGCGCUAAACCUGCUGUGGCAUAGGCGUAGCGGACCCGGGGGCAGUACCCGGCGCCUCCACCAUUUUCGGGCACCUGAUGACACAUCAGGUGCUCUUUAUGGGGGCGAAUUAGGCUCGACGUGCGCAGUAAAGACAGUAGCUGUUCCCGGCAUGAUACCACCGUUAUCGGGUCAUAUCUAAAAGUGCCAACGACAACGUUGCACUCGUUGAGGACGUCCGCCUCGCCGCCUAACGGCCGCUAGGUUUAUACGUCCAAAGCGCGGUUCGGGGGGGCACCGGGCAACAGAAGCCCCCCCACU